AGGCUGAGCUGUGAUGGGGAGAAGACAUUGUGUCUUCGAGUCGUUGAUUUCACACUGCCGAGAAAAGCCUCUAGAUAGAAAAUAGGUGCCCGUACCGCAAACCGACACAGGUAGUCAAGAUGAGAAUUCUAAGGUGAGCGAGCGAACUCUCGUUAAGGAACUCGGCAAAAUGACCCCGUAACUUCGGGAGAAGGGGUGCUCUUUAGGGUUAACGCCCAGAAGAGCCGCAGUGAAUAGGCCCAAGCGACUGUUUAUCAAAAACACAGGUCUCUGCUAAACCGUAAGGUGAUGUAUAGGGGCUGACGCCUGCCCGGUGCUGGAAGGUUAAGAGGAGUGGUUAGCUUCUGCGAAGCUACGAAUCGAAGCCCCAGUAAACGGCGGCCGUAACUAUAACGGUCCUAAGGUAGCGAAAUUCCUUGUCGGGUAAGUUCCGACCCGCACGAAAGGCGUAACGAUUUGGGCACUGUCUCAACGAGAGACUCGGUGAAAUCAUAGUACCUGUGAAGAUGCAGGUUACCCGCGACAGGACGGAAAGACCCCGUGGAGCUUUACUGUAGCCUGAUAUUGAAAUUCGGCACAGCUUGUACAGGAUAGGUAGGAGCCUUUGAAACGUGAGCGCUAGCUUACGUGGAGGCGCUGGUGGGAUACUACCCUAGCUGUGUUGGCUUUCUAACCCGCACCACUUAUCGUGGUGGGAGACAGUGUCAGGCGGGCAGUUUGACUGGGGCGGUCGCCUCCUAAAAGGUAACGGAGGCGCUCAAAGGUUCCCUCAGAAUGGUUGGAAAUCAUUCAUAGAGUGUAAAGGCAUAAGGGAGCUUGACUGCGAGACCUACAAGUCGAGCAGGGUCGAAAGACGGACUUAGUGAUCCGGUGGUUCCGCAUGGAAGGGCCAUCGCUCAACGGAUAAAAGCUACCCCGGGGAUAACAGGCUUAUCUCCCCCAAGAGUUCACAUCGACGGGGAGGUUUGGCACCUCGAUGUCGGCUCAUCGCAUCCUGGGGCUGUAGUCGGUCCCAAGGGUUGGGCUGUUCGCCCAUUAAAGCGGUACGCGAGCUGGGUUCAGAACGUCGUGAGACAGUUCGGUCCCUAUCCGUCGUGGGCGUAGGAAAUUUGAGAGGAGCUGUCCUUAGUACGAGAGGACCGGGAUGGACAUACCUCUGGUGUACCAGUUGUCGUGCCAACGGCAUAGCUGGGUAGCUAUGUGUGGACGGGAUAAGUGCUGAAAGCAUCUAAGCAUGAAGCCCCCCUCAAGAUGAGAUUUCCCAACUUCGGUUAUAAGAUCCCUCAAAGAUGAUGAGGUUAAUAGGUUCGAGGUGGAAGCAUGGUGACAUGUGGAGCUGACGAAUACUAAUCGAUCGAAGACUUAAUC
Molecule: ribosomal RNA, 1368 nt
Filed under: Staphylococcus aureus
Lineage: Bacteria; Bacillati; Bacillota; Bacilli; Caryophanales; Staphylococcaceae
Also listed under: 81 other names
Description: bacterial LSU rRNA
Rfam family: Bacterial large subunit ribosomal RNA
Source: RNAcentral